Long non-coding RNA from Monomorium pharaonis (pharaoh ant), 582 nucleotides. RefSeq lists it as uncharacterized. The transcript has 2 exons. Lineage: Eukaryota; Metazoa; Arthropoda; Insecta; Hymenoptera; Formicidae. The record is from RefSeq and is a predicted model, not a curated record.
CGAAUCUUAUAAAUGUUAAAUAUCAACUGAAAUUAUUUGUAUUAGAUUCAAUUUUUCUAUUAAAUUUUGUAUGAAAUUUUAGUGUCGUUUGUGAAGUAAUACUAAAUGCAUAUCUUGUCGAUAGUAGGUAAAAUCUAUUAGGAUAUUACGACAAGCAUAACAGCUGCAUAAAAGUUGUAAUGGUGUAACGUUCAAUGCGAGUGACAGAUUUAUCGCGUCCUUCUGACAGCUGCAAUCUGCAGGAAAGUUCGUAAUUUUGUUGCUGGAUAGAGAACCAGAAAAUAGUAUUGUUCCUGAAUUUUUAGCAGGAAGAGGAGAUAGAAGACCAAGUCAUCGUAAAGUUAACCGCAAUGAAGACUGCUACGCUAUUUAAUCACGAGAAAAUCCUGAUUUUCUUUUGUAAAAAGGAAGAAAUCGAGAGUAAAUACUCUCUCUAUGCGUGCAUCUAUGUACAAAACGAUACAAAACUUAGAUUCGCUGGAUUCUCGUCAAGAGGAUUUCUUUCACCGCUUUCUUUCCAUUUCUUCGCAAAUGCAAGUUUUGGGCGCCGAUGAUGAAAAUAAAAGCAACAAAAAAAAAGAA